This 405-nucleotide ribosomal RNA is filed under the name uncultured bacterium. RNAcentral describes it as "SSU rRNA". It matches the Rfam family "Bacterial small subunit ribosomal RNA", at positions 68 to 465 of the family's 1533-position model. The record is from RNAcentral.
CUUUCGGGUCUAGGUGGGCGAAGUGGCCGAAACCGGGUGAAGUAAAUGUAUCCGGAAACGUGGCCCAGUAGCGGGGGAUAACUACGCGAAAAGCGUGGCUAAUAACCGCAUACGCCCUAUCGGGGGAAUAGCAGGGGAUCGCAAGACCUUGCAUCUAUUGGAGCGGCCGAUAUCGGAUUAGCUAGUUGGUGGGGUAAUCGGCUCACCAAGGCGACGAUCCGUAGCUGGUUUGAGAUGGACGACCAGCCACAUCUGGGACUGAGACACGGCCCAGACUCCUACGGGAGGCAGCAGUGGGGAAUUUUGGACAAUGGGGGAAACCCUGAUCCAGCCAUCCCGCGUGUGCGAUGAAGGCCUUCGGGUUGUAAAGCACUUUUGGCAGGAAAGAAACGUCGCGGGUUAAUA